AGGUGCCUUUAUUGCACCCUAAGCACACCCCCUCCUGAUUGCGGAAGCUAACCAGGGCCAGGCUUGGUUAGUGCUUGGAGGGGAGACGACCCCGCAGUAAAACGGGAGAGAGCUCUUG
This 118-nucleotide ribosomal RNA is filed under the name Pogona vitticeps (central bearded dragon). Lineage: Eukaryota; Metazoa; Chordata; Lepidosauria; Squamata; Agamidae. The record is from RNAcentral.